This 1416-nucleotide ribosomal RNA is filed under the name metagenome. RNAcentral describes it as "bacterial SSU rRNA". It matches the Rfam family "Archaeal small subunit ribosomal RNA". The record is from RNAcentral.
UCCAGUUUAUCCUGCUGGAGAGUGCUGCUAUCAAGAUUCGGAUAAACCAUGCAAGUUACUGUCGCAAGACAGGGCAAACUGCCGAGUAAUAUAUAGUUAACCUUCCCUUAAGCUCGGAAUAACCUCGGGAAACUGAGGAUAAUACCGAAUGGACAAUGGUCUCUGGAAUGAAUCAUUGUUGAAACGCAAGGCUUAAGGACGGGGCUAUAGCCUAUCAGGUAGUUGGUAGGGUAAAUGCCUACCAAGCCUAUGACGGGUAGGGGCGCUGAGAGGCGGUGCCCCCGGAAGAACUCUGAUACACUAGUUCUAGCCCUACGGGGUGCAGCAGGUGCGAAAAUUUUCCAAUGCACGCAAGUGUGAGAGAGGAAUCUUGAGUGUUUUUGUUAAUACAAAAACUUUUGCGUACUUUAAAAAGGUACGAGAAUAAGGGCUGGGCAAGAUCGGUGCCAGCAGCCGCGGUAAUCCCGACGGCCCAAGUGGGACUCACAAUUAUUGGGUCUAAAACAUUCGUAGCCGGCUUUUCAAGUUCUAUGUUAAAUUGCAAGGCUUAACCUCGCAGCUGCAUAGAAUACUGGGAGGCUAGGGACUGGGAGACGUAAUGAGUACAUCGAGGGGAGUAGUAAAAUAUGUUAAUCCUCGCUGGACUAACAAUGGCGAAGGCACGUUACGAGAACAGAUCCGACGGUGAGGAAUGAAGGCCAGGGGCGCAAAUUGGAUUAGAUACCCAAGUAGUCCUGGCAGUAAACCCUGCAUACUAAACAUUGUGAUCUCCUCGAGAGAUUGCAGUGCUGAAGCGAAGGCGGAAGUAUGCUACCUGGGGAGUAUAGUCGCAAGAUCGAAACUUAAAGGAAUUGGCGGGGGAGCACUACAACGGGUGAUCGCGUGCGGUUUAAUUAGAUUCUACACCGUGAACCUUACCAGGAUCGACUGCGGAAUGAAGGUCAGUCUGAAGGGCUUACCUGACACGCAGAGAGGGAGUGCAUGGCCGUCGUCAGCCUGUGUCGUGAGAUGAUCUGUUAAAUCAGUUAACAGGCGAGACCCGCGUGCGUUGUUGCUAACCUGUAAGGAAGCACACUACGCAGACUGCUUCAGUAAUGAAGAGGAAGGUGCGGGCUACGAUAGGUGAGUACGCUCCGAAUACCCUGGGCUACACGCGCGCGUCAAUGGCGAUAACAAUGAGAUGCAAUGCCGAAAGGUAAAGCUAACCCCCUAAAUAUCGUCCUAGUCCCGAUUGAGCCUUGAAACCCAGGCUCAUGACGUUGGAAUCCGUAGUAAUCGGACGUUAUCAGCGUCCGGUGAAUAAUGUCCCUGCUCCUUGCACACACCGCCCGUCAAACCGACCGAGUUACGUCUUGAUGAAGUUUUUGUUAGUAGAUUUAUCUAAAAAUAGGAAAUGAAUCUUGGCAUAGCGAGGUA